UACGGAGGGGGCUAGCGUUGUCCGGAUUUAUUGGGCGUAAAGAGCGUGUAGGCGGCCAGGUAGGUCCGCUGUGAAAACUCGAGGCUCAACCUCGAGAUGUCGGCGGAAACCAUCUGGCUAGAGUCCGGAAGAGGAGAGUGGAAUUCCUGGUGUAGCGGUGAAAUGCGCAGAUAUCAGGAAGAACACCCGUGGCGAAGGCGGCUCUCUGGGACGGUACUGACGCUGAGACGCGAAAGCGUGGGGAGCGAACAGG
RNAcentral lists this ribosomal RNA (253 nucleotides) under uncultured bacterium. Its description in RNAcentral is "partial 16S ribosomal RNA". It matches the Rfam family "Bacterial small subunit ribosomal RNA", at positions 524 to 776 of the family's 1533-position model. The record is from RNAcentral.